CCAAAGAUCUCAGGUCUGUGGGUCAUUGGUAUUUCUAUGAUCCACCAGCACCUCAUUUUUCUUUCCACACAAGUGACUCUGGCUGAGUGCACUCUCAUUCAUCUUAGCCUUCCCAUCUCACCACAUGAAGGCUAUCUCUAGUAUCUUCUCAUUUUAGGGCUCCAUCCCAUUUUUGCUCAACUUCUGCAACUAUGCAUAUAGUCAAAUGCCACUCAUAGUGAAAUAAAUUCAUCAUAACUGUGUUAUUUUCACUAAUACUGCCCUAAUUUAUGAAUGCAGCAGCCUCGCUGUACUCUUUUGUUCUAGAAUGUCCCAGCCCUUAAAUCCCCUCAGAGUAAGCUCUCUGAAAGGUAAUCUCUGCUACCAUCCCCGACUAACACCCAUAAGGAUUCCAGCCAAUGAAUAUUCAUCAACCUCUGUAGUCCAGCCUGACCAAUUUCUUCUUAUUCUCCUCUAUGAAUCAUAAGAACCUAUCAUCAGCUCACCACCACUCCUGUUUUCAGGGUUUAAUUUGAGGAUUAUCUAAAAAAGCAACCUCAUGUAGCAGGGUGGCCCCCCAAAUGCAGGUUCCAAGAACUCACUCAAGACCUGCUAGGUUUGAAUCCUGGUGUUUAGCUCUAGAGGCAUGGAUUUUGUAACCAUCUUCCUGGGUCAUCCUUGUGCACCUUGAACUUCCAAAGCCUUUGCUCACACUAUAUCUGUUUCUCGUCUCCAGAUAUUGUUAACUUGGAAUAAUGUCCCACCCCUGCUCUCCAAUUCCCCAGGGAAACCUUGUUCAUCUGUGAACCAUUUUCUCAGCAUCCCAA
This 806-nucleotide long non-coding RNA is filed under the name Homo sapiens (human). RNAcentral describes it as "HSALNT0279894". Lineage: Eukaryota; Metazoa; Chordata; Mammalia; Primates; Hominidae. The record is from RNAcentral.